This 450-nucleotide ribosomal RNA is filed under the name uncultured Glomeromycotina. Its description in RNAcentral is "SSU rRNA". It matches the Rfam family "Eukaryotic small subunit ribosomal RNA", at positions 569 to 1026 of the family's 1831-position model. Lineage: Eukaryota; Fungi; Glomeromycota. The record is from RNAcentral.
AGCAGCCGCGGUAAUUCCAGCUCCAAUAGCGUAUAUUAAAGUUGUUGCAGUUAAAAAGCUCGUAGUUGAAUUUCGGGAUCAAUAUGUUGGUCGUGCCUUGGUACGUACUGGCAUUAUCGAUUCCUACCUUCUGAAGAACCUCGAUGUCAUUAAUUUGGUGUCUUGGGGAAUCAGGACUGUUACUUUGAAAAAAUUGAGUGUUUAAAGCAGGCUCGCGCUUGAAUACAUUAGCAUGGAAUAAUGAAAUAGGACGUUUGAUUCUAUUUUGUUGGUUUCUGGGAUCGACGUAAUGAUUAAUAGGGAUAGUUGGGGGCAUUAGUAUUCAAUUGUCAGAGGUGAAAUUCUUGGAUUUAUUGAAGACUAACUACUGCGAAAGCAUUUGCCAAGGAUGUUUUCAUUAAUCAAGAACGAAAGUUAGGGAUCGAAGACGAUCAGAUACCGUCGUAGUCU